This 485-nucleotide ribosomal RNA is filed under the name Boophis roseipalmatus. RNAcentral describes it as "partial 16S ribosomal RNA". It matches the Rfam family "Bacterial large subunit ribosomal RNA", at positions 1946 to 2597 of the family's 2925-position model. The record is from RNAcentral. Lineage: Eukaryota; Metazoa; Chordata; Amphibia; Anura; Mantellidae.
CCGUGCGAAGGUAGCAUAAUCACUUGUUCUUUAAAUGAGGACUAGUAUCAACGGCAUCACGAGGAUCCUACUGUCUCCCCCCUCCAGUCAGUGAAACUGAUCUCUCCGUGAAGAAGCGGAGAUACGCAUAUAAGACGAGAAGACCCCAUGGAGCUUUAAACCCAACAACACCCGCCUCCCUUAAACCCUAUUAUCAGCCCGGCGAUUGUUUGCUUGGUUUUAGGUUGGGGUGACCACGGAGUACAAAACAUCCUCCAUGAAAAAAAGCUAACUGCCCUUAUUAGAGAAAGACAUUUCCAAAAAAUAACAAAUUAAUUUUUAAUGACCCGAUAUUCGAUCAACGAACCAAGUUACCCUGGGGAUAACAGCGCAAUCCGCCCCGAGAGCCCCUAUCGACAGGCGGGUUUACGACCUCGAUGUUGGAUCAGGGUAUCCUAGUGGUGCAGCAGCUACUAACGGUUCGUUUGUUCAACGAUUAAAACCCU